This 498-nucleotide ribosomal RNA is filed under the name uncultured bacterium. RNAcentral's name for it is "bacterial SSU rRNA". It matches the Rfam family "Bacterial small subunit ribosomal RNA", at positions 28 to 513 of the family's 1533-position model. The record is from RNAcentral.
GAUGAACGCUAGCUACAGGCUUAGCACAUGCAAGUCGAGGGGAAACGAUAGAGAAAGCUUGCUUUUUCUAGGCGUCGACCGGCGCACGGGUGAGUAACGCGUAUCCAACCUGCCCACCACUUGGGGAUAAUCGCGGGAAACCGCGUCUAAUGCUCCAUAGUUCCCCGGGUCCGCAUGGGCCCGGGGGGAAAGGUUUGUUCCGGUCGGGGAUGGGCAUGCGGCGCAUUAGGUAGUUGGCGGGGCGACGGCCCACCAAGCCGACGAUGCGUAGGGGUUCUGAGAGGAAGGUCCCCCACAUUGGUACUGAGACACGGGCCAAACUCCUACGGGAGGCAGCAGUGAGGAAUAUUGGUCAAUGGACGGGAGUCUGAACCAGCCAAGUCGCGUGAGGGAUGAAGGUCCUACGGAUUGUAAACCUCUUUUGCCGGGAGUAACGUCGUCCACGAGUGGGCGAGUGAGAGUACCCGGAGAAAAGCAUCGGCUAACUCCGUGCCAGCA